UCGAGUGGGCCUGCCCUGCACUCCAGCGGGCCGGGAGUCUAGGGCCGGAGGGCCCUCGACACCGACGGCGGCGGCGGAGAAGGCCUGGCUAUGAUUUGGAGAUAAAGUAUUGCCUUCCCCCUUAACUUCAUCCCACUCCGGCGGCGCCAGAGAGCAGCCUUUGUGUGGGGCGAAUCGGUCAGUGUCGCGCUGGAAAUAAAGGAGGAGUUCGGCAACCCCUCGCUCUUUCUUUUCCUCUCUUUCGGGGAAUACGACCCGGGUUGGAGUGGAGACACAAAUAUGGCCAGAAGACUACACUGCGGCGCGCUCCUCGCCCGGGGGCGUCUUUUGCUUUGUCUGUUGCAGCCGUCAGCAUCCACCUGAGCCGCAGUUUCUCCGGCCCCGGACGCGGGGGCCUCGGCGGGGGCGGCGGUGGCGGCUGUUGCGCCACUUGGUGCGGGGGCGGCGGAGGCGGCGCGUGGCGGCUGCGGCGCGUGGGCCCGCUCGCCGCCUGCUGGGUGUCCGCCUGCCUGCUCCACACCGCGCUCAUCGUGGCCGCCGUCACGGCGUUCGUGGCGCAGUUUAGGAUCAGCGCCGAGGAGAGGAACCGGGACAUCCUGGUGGUGUCCAUGGUGCAGCUGGGGCUGUCGCUGGGCACGCUGGCCGCGGAGGCCGCGCUCGUGGCCGUCGAGUGCCGUCGCUGGCCGCUCAAGGCGGACUGACACGGGGUGCCGGGGGCGGGCCGGGGCCGAGGCGGGCCGUGCUCGGGGGCGGAGGGUCCGUCCCUGGGCAUCAGCGUGGUGGGCCUCACCGCCCCCGGCACCGCCCCCACGCUGCCGCCGCCGCCGCCCGAGGCCGCCUGGGUCGCAUGAAUGACCCGACCCCCGCGCCUCCGUCCUGGCGCUGACGUUCCUCUGGGAAUGAGGAUGUCAGGGCGCCGCUGAUUGGAGGACAUUUGGGCCCCCAGGGUCCGGCUCCUGGCAACGAGGGGCCAUCAGUGAACAUUUGUCUCGGGCGGGCGGCGUUACUCCUCGUUGAUGACGCGGGGCCCCUUCACCGCGGGCGCCUCUCACUGCGCUGCUCGGAGAUACCCCGUGGCCGGAGCGUGGGGUCUGCCCGGCAGCUUGGGCUCCCAGCCCAUCCGUUUGAACGGACGAUAUGGGCGUGUUGUGCGUCUUACGCCCCAGGUUUAUCAACGUGUAAAUAGUGUAGUCUUCAGAGAUCUUGUACUCUCUUGGUUCAAGAAACAAGAGUGUGGUUUUAAGGCAAUUAUACUGUUUGUGGAAUGAUUUUGAAUGGUUUUUGUAGUGAGGGACCAGACGAAAAAUGGAAGGUUAAAGUUUGUUCCAGUUAAAGCUACGUGUGAUUAAAGAGUUACUAUAUUAAAUGAUAGAGUUCGCGGCUACGCAAUGUCGUUACGUUACGCAAUUAUUUUGUACAAUCGCGCAAGCGCGUGUCAUAAUAUAUUCUGGCAAAUUAUGAUGAAAUAAAAGCGAAAGUUAAUCUUG
This is a long non-coding RNA of Frankliniella occidentalis (western flower thrips), 1487 nucleotides long. RefSeq lists it as uncharacterized. Lineage: Eukaryota; Metazoa; Arthropoda; Insecta; Thysanoptera; Thripidae. The transcript is spliced from 2 exons. The record is from RefSeq and is a predicted model, not a curated record.